CUUGAGAGAAAAUUUUCUAAAUCUCUUUACUCUUUUUGUUUGCAGCCUAGGUUGGAGAUCUCAGUUCACUGACCUAUAGGGUCCUCCGGUAGUUUAAAGAAACGCCCUGCUUACCAUUAAGGCAUAGCGAGAGUCAGGAAGAAUGAAGAUCCAAUAUAAAGAAGGUGGGAAGACUUGGAGGUGCCCUUGGGUGUAGAAAAGAGGUUUCUGUCUUUAGAAGGCCUUUCCACAUCAAAAUGACAUCUUUGGCAUUUGUAGAGGUGUGAGGUAAGAGAUCUUAUUACUCUGUCCCCCAAGAUGCUCAGCAAGUUAUUCCAAUUUAUUGAUUAGUUCAUCCUUUCCUUACUGAUUUUAAAGGC
RNAcentral lists this long non-coding RNA (359 nucleotides) under Ailuropoda melanoleuca (giant panda). RNAcentral describes it as "lncRNA (ENSAMEG00000025489.1)". Lineage: Eukaryota; Metazoa; Chordata; Mammalia; Carnivora; Ursidae. The record is from RNAcentral.